Long non-coding RNA from Mauremys reevesii (Reeves's turtle), 404 nucleotides. RefSeq lists it as uncharacterized. Lineage: Eukaryota; Metazoa; Chordata; Testudines; Geoemydidae. The record is from RefSeq and is a predicted model, not a curated record. The transcript has 3 exons.
GGAACUGGGAGCAAGAGGUGUGCAAGAAGCUGAGAGAGAACUAAGUGACUUGCCUAAGGUCAAGGAUGAGAAAGGUGGCCAGGGAUUAGGGCACUAGCCUAGGAUUUGGGAGACUCAAUUUCAAUUCUGUGCUCUGCUUCAGACUUUCUUUGCAACUUUGGACCAAGGAAGAGAACAGACCUUCAACCCUCAGCUCCUGAGGGCUGAGGGAAGGCAGGAGCUUCCUUGACGACCACUGCCUGAAGGUUCCUCCCAGAAGGCCACGUCACUGGAAGAUGCAGGCCAGUGCAGAGGUGGAGCAACCAGCAGCAGCAGACUCCAGUGGCGAGAGGGCUGCCCAGCCCAGCCACAGGGAGGCACCAGUAGUGAGCUGACCCCUUCACAGGACUAUAUAAGCUAUUUGU